Cinara cedri is the source of this 208-nucleotide non-coding RNA. The record is from the annotation of a GenBank genome assembly. NCBI's taxonomy places the organism in Eukaryota, Metazoa, Arthropoda, Insecta, Hemiptera, Aphididae.
AGAUUACUGCCGGACUCGCAUUACAACUGUUGUUAAAUUAUACACGGUCGUUUGAUUUUCGAUUCACGUACGACGACGACAGCGACUGCGACACUCGCGGCCGCAGCGAGAGAAUGGACGGCCGGAGGGUGGGGAGGAAACGUUUUUAGAAGAAAAAAAAAAAGGCAGCAGGAUCAUUAAGGAUUGUUAAAAUCGUACAUCGUUUGUU